CCUGUGAUAGCUCAGUUGGUUAGAGCAUGGCGCUGAUAAUGCCAAGGUUGCAGGUUCGAUUCCUGCAUUGCAGGG
Molecule: non-coding RNA, 75 nt
Organism: Podarcis lilfordi (Lilford's wall lizard)
Lineage: Eukaryota; Metazoa; Chordata; Lepidosauria; Squamata; Lacertidae
Source: the annotation of a GenBank genome assembly